GUAGUGCUGUAGUGCAGUUACUGUGAUAUGUCAUAGAUUUAGUAAGGCGUGGUCGUGCUCUGCAGGAGAAGAACAAGCAUUCAUUUUCAACUGAUAGACGAAAGAGGACAAAUGAGUUAGAGAUUAAUUGUUGCUGAAUGGAAUGUGGGUGGAGAGGUUACACAAAGUCUUCUGCUGUUUAUGAGGUUCAGCUCAGUAAGGAUGACUCUUACCAUUCAGUUAUUCGCAAGAUAAGCAGCUCAAUUGGAAUUGAUGACUGUGAAGAAAAUGAGCUAAGGUUAUUCAAUGGAAGAGGUGGAAUAAUUUCAGAUGGUUGUAUUACUCUUUGUGAUAAAGAAGUUGAUUGGUCGUUGGGGGCCUUUUUACUAAAGAGACAUACCUCUGCAGACAAGUUAACUCUAGGCAUAGGCAUUGUUGAUGAAGAGCUAGAACCAGUUAUUUCCUAAUCAAAAAAGGCAAAGGUCAGUAGUAGUACUCAUACGAACACAGAGCCCUUGAGAAAGGCAGCAGCUGAUCAGAAUGUCAGUGGAAGGAAGGUUGAUAGCAAGUCCUCAACUAAUGAUAUAGAAUAUCAAGCUUAUGAAGCCUCCAACAAUGAUGGAUUAC
Amphimedon queenslandica is the source of this 606-nucleotide long non-coding RNA. RefSeq lists it as uncharacterized. The transcript is spliced from 5 exons. Lineage: Eukaryota; Metazoa; Porifera; Demospongiae; Haplosclerida; Niphatidae. The record is from RefSeq and is a predicted model, not a curated record.